GGGGAUUUGGCUCAGUGGUAGAGCGCUUGCCUAGGAAGCGCAAGGUCCUGGGUUCAAUCCCCAGCCCCA
Non-coding RNA from Rattus norvegicus (Norway rat), 69 nucleotides. NCBI's taxonomy places the organism in Eukaryota, Metazoa, Chordata, Mammalia, Rodentia, Muridae. The record is from Rfam.